Molecule: ribosomal RNA, 2084 nt
Filed under: Klebsiella pneumoniae
Lineage: Bacteria; Pseudomonadati; Pseudomonadota; Gammaproteobacteria; Enterobacterales; Enterobacteriaceae
Description: bacterial LSU rRNA
Rfam family: Bacterial large subunit ribosomal RNA
Source: RNAcentral
AGCUAUUUAGGUAGCGCCUCGUGAAUUCAUCUUCGGGGGUAGAGCACUGUUUCGGCUAGGGGGUCAUCCCGACUUACCAACCCGAUGCAAACUACGAAUACCGAAGAAUGUUAUCACGGGAGACACACGGCGGGUGCUAACGUCCGUCGUGAAGAGGGAAACAACCCAGACCGCCAGCUAAGGUCCCAAAGUCAUGGUUAAGUGGGAAACGAUGUGGGAAGGCACAGACAGCCAGGAUGUUGGCUUAGAAGCAGCCAUCAUUUAAAGAAAGCGUAAUAGCUCACUGGUCGAGUCGGCCUGCGCGGAAGAUGUAACGGGGCUAAACCAUGCACCGAAGCUGCGGCAGCGACACUAUGUGUUGUUGGGUAGGGGAGCGUUCUGUAAGCCUGCGAAGGUGUGCUGUGAGGCAUGCUGGAGGUAUCAGAAGUGCGAAUGCUGACAUAAGUAACGAUAAAGCGGGUGAAAAGCCCGCUCGCCGGAAGACCAAGGGUUCCUGUCCAACGUUAAUCGGGGCAGGGUGAGUCGACCCCUAAGGCGAGGCCGAAAGGCGUAGUCGAUGGGAAACAGGUUAAUAUUCCUGUACUUGGUGUUACUGCGAAGGGGGGACGGAGAAGGCUAUGUUAGCCGGGCGACGGUUGUCCCGGUUUAAGCAUGUAGGCUGAUUGUCCAGGCAAAUCCGGAUAAUCAAGGCUGAGGUGUGAUGACGAGGCACUACGGUGCUGAAGUAACAAAUGCCCUGCUUCCAGGAAAAGCCUCUAAGCAUCAGGUAACAUUAAAUCGUACCCCAAACCGACACAGGUGGUCAGGUAGAGAAUACCAAGGCGCUUGAGAGAACUCGGGUGAAGGAACUAGGCAAAAUGGUGCCGUAACUUCGGGAGAAGGCACGCUGGUGUGUAGGUGAAGCCCCUGCGGGUGGAGCUGAGACCAGUCGAAGAUACCAGCUGGCUGCAACUGUUUAUUAAAAACACAGCACUGUGCAAACACGAAAGUGGACGUAUACGGUGUGACGCCUGCCCGGUGCCGGAAGGUUAAUUGAUGGGGUUAUCCGUAAGGAGAAGCUCUUGAUCGAAGCCCCGGUAAACGGCGGCCGUAACUAUAACGGUCCUAAGGUAGCGAAAUUCCUUGUCGGGUAAGUUCCGACCUGCACGAAUGGCGUAAUGAUGGCCAGGCUGUCUCCACCCGAGACUCAGUGAAAUUGAACUCGCUGUGAAGAUGCAGUGUACCCGCGGCAAGACGGAAAGACCCCGUGAACCUUUACUAUAGCUUGACACUGAACAUUGAGCCUUGAUGUGUAGGAUAGGUGGGAGGCUUUGAAGCGUGGACGCCAGUCUGCGUGGAGCCAACCUUGAAAUACCACCCUUUAAUGUUUGAUGUUCUAACGUUGGCCCCUGACCGGGGUUGCGGACAGUGUCUGGUGGGUAGUUUGACUGGGGCGGUCUCCUCCCAAAGCGUAACGGAGGAGCACGAAGGUUAGCUAAUCCUGGUCGGACAUCAGGAGGUUAGUGCAAUGGCAUAAGCUAGCUUGACUGCGAGCGUGACGGCGCGAGCAGGUGCGAAAGCAGGUCAUAGUGAUCCGGUGGUUCUGAAUGGAAGGGCCAUCGCUCAACGGAUAAAAGGUACUCCGGGGAUAACAGGCUGAUACCGCCCAAGAGUUCAUAUCGACGGCGGUGUUUGGCACCUCGAUGUCGGCUCAUCACAUCCUGGGGCUGAAGUAGGUCCCAAGGGUAUGGCUGUUCGCCAUUUAAAGUGGUACGCGAGCUGGGUUUAGAACGUCGUGAGACAGUUCGGUCCCUAUCUGCCGUGGGCGCUGGAGAAUUGAGGGGGGCUGCUCCUAGUACGAGAGGACCGGAGUGGACGCAUCACUGGUGUUCGGGUUGUCAUGCCAAUGGCACUGCCCGGUAGCUAAAUGCGGAAGAGAUAAGUGCUGAAAGCAUCUAAGCACGAAACUUGCCCCGAGAUGAGUUCUCCCUGAGACUUUAAGUCUCCUGAAGGAACGUUAAAGACGAUGACGUUGAUAGGCCGGGUGUGUAAGCGCAGCGAUGCGUUGAGCUAACCGGUACUAAUGAACCGUGAGGCUUAACCUU